GGUUAAGCGACUAAGCGUACACGGUGGAUGCCCUGGCAGUCAGAGGCGAUGAAGGACGUGCUAAUCUGCGAAAAGCGUCGGUAAGGUGAUAUGAACCGUUAUAACCGGCGAUGUCCGAAUGGGGAAACCCAGUGCAAUUCGUUGCACUAUCGUUAACUGAAUACAUAGGUUAACGAGGCGAACCGGGGGAACUGAAACAUCUAAGUACCCCGAGGAAAAGAAAUCAACCGAGAUUCCCCCAGUAGCGGCGAGCGAACGGGGAGCAGCCCAGAGUCUGAAUCAGCUUGUGUGUUAGUGGAACGGUCUGGAAAGUCCGACGGUACAGGGUGAUAGUCCCGUACACCAAAAUGCACAGGCUGUGAACUCGAAGAGUAGGGCGGGACACGUGGUAUCCUGUCUGAAUAUGGGGGGACCAUCCUCCAAGGCUAAAUACUCCUGACUGACCGAUAGUGAACCAGUACCGUGAGGGAAAGGCGAAAAGAACCCCGGCGAGGGGAGUGAAAAAGAACCUGAAACCGUGUACGUACAAGCAGUGGGAGCACCUUCGGGUGUGACUGCGUACCUUUUGUAUAAUGGGUCAGCGACUUAUAUUCUGUAGCAAGGUUAACCGUAUAGGGGAGCCGCAGGGAAACCGAGUCUUAACUGGGCGUUAAGUUGCAGGGUAUAGACCCGAAACCCGGUGAUCUAGCCAUGGGCAGGUUGAAGGUUGGGUAACACUAACUGGAGGACCGAACCGACUAAUGUUGAAAAAUUAGCGGAUGACUUGUGGCUGGGGGUGAAAGGCCAAUCAAACCGGGAGAUAGCUGGUUCUCCCCGAAAGCUAUUUAGGUAGCGCCUCGUGAAUUCAUCUUCGGGGGUAGAGCACUGUUUCGGCUAGGGGGUCAUCCCGACUUACCAACCCGAUGCAAACUACGAAUACCGAAGAAUGUUAUCACGGGAGACACACGGCGGGUGCUAACGUCCGUCGUGAAGAGGGAAACAACCCAGACCGCCAGCUAAGGUCCCAAAGUCAUGGUUAAGUGGGAAACGAUGUGGGAAGGCACAGACAGCCAGGAUGUUGGCUUAGAAGCAGCCAUCAUUUAAAGAAAGCGUAAUAGCUCACUGGUCGAGUCGGCCUGCGCGGAAGAUGUAACGGGGCUAAACCAUGCACCGAAGCUGCGGCAGCGACACUAUGUGUUGUUGGGUAGGGGAGCGUUCUGUAAGCCUGCGAAGGUGUGCUGUGAGGCAUGCUGGAGGUAUCAGAAGUGCGAAUGCUGACAUAAGUAACGAUAAAGCGGGUGAAAAGCCCGCUCGCCGGAAGACCAAGGGUUCCUGUCCAACGUUAAUCGGGGCAGGGUGAGUCGACCCCUAAGGCGAGGCCGAAAGGCGUAGUCGAUGGGAAACAGGUUAAUAUUCCUGUACUUGGUGUUACUGCGAAGGGGGGACGGAGAAGGCUAUGUUAGCCGGGCGACGGUUGUCCCGGUUUAAGCAUGUAGGCUGGUUGUCCAGGCAAAUCCGGAUAAUCAAGGCUGAGGUGUGAUGACGAGGCACUACGGUGCUGAAGUAACAAAUGCCCUGCUUCCAGGAAAAGCCUCUAAGCAUCAGGUAACAUCAAAUCGUACCCCAAACCGACACAGGUGGUCAGGUAGAGAAUACCAAGGCGCUUGAGAGAACUCGGGUGAAGGAACUAGGCAAAAUGGUGCCGUAACUUCGGGAGAAGGCACGCUGGUGUGUAGGUGAAG
This 1721-nucleotide ribosomal RNA is filed under the name Klebsiella pneumoniae. RNAcentral's name for it is "partial 23S ribosomal RNA". It matches the Rfam family "Bacterial large subunit ribosomal RNA", at positions 1 to 1767 of the family's 2925-position model. Lineage: Bacteria; Pseudomonadati; Pseudomonadota; Gammaproteobacteria; Enterobacterales; Enterobacteriaceae. The record is from RNAcentral.